UCACUCUUGUCUCCUCUAAGUUUAUAAUGUUAUGCACAAGCAUGACCUCCAUUAUAGAUGCAGUUCAACUUCUUGUUAGAUUAGUAUUAGAAGACGUAGUAGUCCUGUAGAUAAAGCUCUAGACUAGUUGUUCUUUUUGUUCAGUGAGGAUGUUGUGGUCCAAGACUCCCAACUCCCAACUUAUAAGAUGCACUAGUAGAGGUACUUGGCCUCAUCCAUUGAACAAAUUCAAAUAAACACGGACACUUAGUUGUCGUGCGGCGUGCCCGUUUUGGCUCACACAUUGAAACUAGUCAAAGAUCCAGGUAGUUGUACAUGUGCCAAUGUUUUCAUUUUUCAUUCCUUUGACAGCCAGACAUUCUUCGGACACUACGGUACCGCUGUUAUUCUCAUUUACACACACAACACAUUGCAAAUAAGUUUCAAUAACUUGGGAGCCAAUGGUAAAAUAAAAUUAAGGAAAACUUUGGAUUUGUUUGUGAAAAAUCUUCUAAAAUAAGUUAUUCAGACUUUUUUUUUAUUCAGUAUAAUAUGGAAUUAAUUGUUACUAUUUUGGUAUUAUAAAGAAUUCAUCCAUUUGUAAGUAGAAAAUGAAAAAUGUUGAUUAUUUUGAUAAGUACAUAUAAGGAUUCAAUGCCAAAGGUGAUUAGUACAUAUAUGUAGAUUAUUUUGAUAAGUACAUAUAAAUUCUACAUAUAUGCAAGUUGCAACCCUCCACUGAUAUUCUUCUGAGUACUAGGGAAAAUGCACAUAUGGUUGCAGUUUGGAAAGGUGAUUAGGACUUUGUUCAAUGAAGCUUAGGCUUUGAGCACUAUCUUACAUCUGUCGGCCGUGGUGCUGAGUUAGUUUCCUACCUUUUACAUUUUCAGUGUUAAGGAUCAAUAGUUCUUUAUGUAGUUCAGGUUUUAUUAUUUUGUCAGAUUUGAGUGGUCUGAUGGGUAAUCUAGUACUUUUGUUGAUAAAUGUUGCAUUAUUUUACAAGAGGAAUGAGAUGACGUCUGGAGCUUUAUGAGACUGGGUUGGGUGCAGGAUUCUAAAUAUCUGGCUGUUACAUGAUGAGACUUUCGACCUUGGAUACCUAAAUAUACCUAUGUGUCGGUAGCUACUGUCCGAUAUCAUCCGAUGGCUGUAUCACCAAGACAAAUAUGUUUCCGAUACUGUAAGCUGGAUUGUUGUGGAAUCGCUUGACUUUCUAUAGAGGGAGUACCUAAGACCGUCCAGGCUUUCACUUUUUAUUCUUUGCUGCCACCCACCUCACCCUUCCUCAACUUCCAGCAGUCUUUAUCUGUUGUCUUUCUGUCGCCGUUAACUUCUUGAAGUUAUGAUAAUUGAUAAGUACACUUUACAUUAAAGCUCAAAACAAAAAAAAAAGUGCACAGGGGCAUGCCACAGAUUUGAAAAACAGCCAUACAAGGAUAAGCAAAAGGAAAAUUAGGACUACAUAUAUCCAAUGAGAGAAUUUACACGUACAACUUGUCCCUCAACCAGGAUGUAGGACCACCUCAGUUAACCUCCAGGCUUUCACACAAAUCUCUCUCUCUGGGAUGCUUUCACACCCCUCGUGGAGCAUAGAAAAAUUCUAUUAGUGGGCACAGUUUUGCAAGUUAUCUGAUCUUCAUUCAUGUACUUUUUCUGGAAGACCAUUCGAUUUCUCUCCAUCCCUAAGUAAUCCCGUUGCAGGCAGUGAGUUCCUCAUUAUCAAGCUUCUACAUCCCCACCCCGCUCAUAGCCCCUGAACUUUGUUUCUAGCCAGCACGGCCUGCCAUACAGAAAUCUAGAAAGGACAUUCAAAAGACUGGUUCAGAUGAUUUUGUCUUGCACUACUGUAUAGAGCCAAUGUCAGGCACCACCAUGCCCCAGACUGUUAACCCAUUGUGGGUACUUAACCUUGGCUAGCCAUCCAGAGUACAAAGGCCCAUUUAGGCACAAUGUUCCAUAUCCAAAUAACGCAUUCCUUGCUUAUGCUUACUAGCAUUCCAAGGAGAAUUUACCUUCGACUUACCACUUGAGUGAGGCAACCACCAAACUGAAUCCUAUUUGCUUACCUCAGCCUGCAAAUUAGAGGGACACUGAGCAAUAAUGUUUUGAGUUAGUCUAUUAAUUACUCUAGGUCAUUUCCAUUUACCAUUGUGGAUAACAGAGGACACCUUUGCUUUUCAAGACCUUCCCGAGUUGUAGACUACAUUUUUACCAUGUCUUGUAGACUCCCUAGUUUUCUAACCAUAGGAUUGUAGAUACCCCAUGCCAAGUCUGCAUUGAACGAGAGGCUGGUUGCUAAUGUUGAAGACCUUCAUAACAGUACCCGAUGCAUCAGCUGGGAGUUCUCUGCAUUCCUGUUUUUUUAGCUGCUUCAGUAGGGUAAGGAAUGGGACGAGCCCGUUGCGCCGUUGCCUGGGACAUUCACAACACAGAUGCAAGACUUCUUCCAUUGUCUAGAGUAAUAUUCCUGCAUUUCAUUCAGAUGGGUUGAAGAAGUGAAAUCCGCUUCAGCAUUAUCAACAGAUGCAGAAGAAACGGACAAAAAAAAUUUUGCUCAGAGACAUUGACUUUUGAUGCUAUAAGAAUGUACCCACUUUAAAGAUAGGGUGUCAGCCUUCAUAAAUAGUGGCCAUAGGUUUGUCAUCAUAGUGCCUUUAUUCCACUUUUCGUUCUUCUAAACCCAACCUUCUUCCUCAGGACAACAGAUACGAUCCCAACUGAUUUUAGCACUGUUAUGCUUCAUUCAGACCCUGACUAUAGAAAUGCCAUUUCGGCACUUUCCUCCUCCUUGAUUAUAUUGCUAGAAA
This is a long non-coding RNA of Rhododendron vialii, 2786 nucleotides long. RefSeq lists it as uncharacterized. Lineage: Eukaryota; Viridiplantae; Streptophyta; Magnoliopsida; Ericales; Ericaceae. The transcript has 2 exons. The record is from RefSeq and is a predicted model, not a curated record.